RNAcentral lists this transfer RNA (58 nucleotides) under Heterocephalus glaber (naked mole-rat). It matches the Rfam family "tRNA", at positions 8 to 63 of the family's 71-position model. Rfam says of the family: Transfer RNA (tRNA) molecules are approximately 80 nucleotides in length. Their secondary structure includes four short double-helical elements and three loops (D, anti-codon, and T loops). Further hydrogen bonds mediate the characteristic L-shaped molecular structure. tRNAs have two regions of fundamental functional importance: the anti-codon, which is responsible for specific mRNA codon recognition, and the 3' end, to which the tRNAs corresponding amino acid is attached (by aminoacyl-tRNA synthetases). tRNAs cope with the degeneracy of the genetic code in two manners: having more than one tRNA (with a specific anti-codon) for a particular amino acid; and 'wobble' base-pairing, i.e. permitting non-standard base-pairing at the 3rd anti-codon position. Lineage: Eukaryota; Metazoa; Chordata; Mammalia; Rodentia; Bathyergidae. The record is from Rfam by way of RNAcentral.
UAGCUCAGUGGUUCCAGCAUGUGCCUCGAAAGCACAAGGUCCCGAGUUCGAUCCUCGG